Molecule: ribosomal RNA, 328 nt
Filed under: uncultured soil bacterium
Lineage: Bacteria
Description: bacterial SSU rRNA
Rfam family: Bacterial small subunit ribosomal RNA
Source: RNAcentral
AGAUUGAACGCUGGCGGCAUGCCUAACACAUGCAAGUCGAACGGGAGUAGCAAUACUCUAGUGGCGGACGGGUGAGGAAUACGUAGGAAUUUGCCCUUAAGUGGGGGAUAACCCGGGGAAACCCGGAUUAAUACCGCAUGACCUCGAAAGAGCAAAGUGGGGGAUCGCAAGACCUCACGCUUUUGGAGAAGCCUACGUCGGAUUAGCUAGUUGGUGAGGUAAUGGCUCACCAAGGCGACGAUCCGUAACUGGUCUGAGAGGAUGAUCAGUCACACCGGAACUGAGACACGGUCCGACUCCGUACGGGAGCAGCAGUGGGAAUAUUGGA